RNAcentral lists this ribosomal RNA (327 nucleotides) under uncultured eukaryote. RNAcentral describes it as "partial 18S ribosomal RNA". It matches the Rfam family "Eukaryotic small subunit ribosomal RNA", at positions 1470 to 1796 of the family's 1831-position model. The record is from RNAcentral.
CCCUUAGAUGUUCUGGGCCGCACACGCGCUACACUGAAGGAGGCAGCGUGUACUCCUGGAUCGAAAGAUUUGGGUAACCCGCGAAUCUCCUUCGUGCUAGGGAUUGAGGUUUGCAAUUAUCCUUCAUGAACGAGGAAUUCCCAGUAAGUGCAAGUCAUAAGCUUGCGCUGACUACGUCCCUGCCCUUUGUACACACCGCCCAUCGCUACUACCGAUUGAAUGAUUUAGUGAGGACUUCGGACUGGGACCGAUGCGGCUUUCGGGCUGCGUCGGUAUUCUGGAAAGAUGUCCAAACUGUAUCAUUUAGAGGAAGUAAAANUCGUAACA